GACGAACGCUGGCGGCGUGCCUAAUACAUGCAACUAGAACGCUGAAGAGAGGAGCUUGCUCUUCUUGGUUGAGUUGCGAACGGGUGAGUAACGCGUAGGUAACCUGCCUUGUAGCGGGGGCUAACUAUUGGAAACGAUAGCUAAUACCGCAUAACAAUGGAUGACACAUGUCAUUUAUUUGCAAGGGGCAAUUGCUCCACUACAAGAUGGACCUGCGUUGUAUUAGCUAGUAGGUGCGGUAAUGGCUCACCUAGGCGACGAUACAUAGCCGACCUGAGAGGGUGAUCGGCCACACUGGGACUGAGACACGGCCCAGAGUCCUACAGGAGACAGCAGUAGGAAAUCUACGGCAAUGGGGGCAACCCUGACCGAGCAACGCCGCGUGAGUGAAGAAGAUUUUCGGAUCGUAAUGCUCUGUUGUAAGUCAAGAACGGGUGUGUGAGUGGAAAGUUCGCACUGUGACGGUAGCUUACCAGAAAGGGACGGCUAACUACGUG
RNAcentral lists this ribosomal RNA (497 nucleotides) under uncultured bacterium. Its description in RNAcentral is "partial 16S ribosomal RNA". It matches the Rfam family "Bacterial small subunit ribosomal RNA", at positions 28 to 507 of the family's 1533-position model. The record is from RNAcentral.